UUUUUUUUUUCUUUUAUGUUUCCUCUUCUUCCUCUCGCUAAUCUUCUUCCAUUUUCUUCUGUAAAUUCCCUUCUUUUUCAAGUCUGGCAUCACAAGAGUUGGAGUUAAAAAUGUGAGUCUGCUUAAGAUGAGAUAGCAUGAUUUAGGGCAGAAGAGAAGACGAUGACGAGAACUAUGCACAGAGCAGAAGAGAGUUCAAGACGGAAGUUGCAGAGCCUGCGAUAGAAGAAGACAACAUUCAAGGCCGUUUGGACCACCUAGAGCGCCUAGGGAGUGCCUAAGCGGUCGCCCAACUCCCUACUGAUUUCUGUAACGAUUUGCCUUAAAACACAUCAGGGCUCCACCGCCUAAUGCCUAGGCGCCGUCUAAGGAGAUUUUUAGAACACUGAUUUAUAUUAUAAUAUUUAUUGGAUACUAUUGUAUUUAAUUUCAAAUAUUGAAUGAAAAAAUUAAUCUUGUUUAUUCUUAAGUGUUACGUCUGAUGCAAAGAAUUGCAUCACAUUAUUUGUAAUUUGGGAUGUGUAGUUUGAUGAUCGUAGUGUAGGUUACAUAGAUGCAAAGUUGCAUCUUUACACCAAACAACACAAUGGGUUCUAUAUUAACCCAUAAAACCAUUAUCAUUAGAUAUACAUAAUUAGAGUUAAUUUUUACUAUUGAGAAAUAUGGUUUCCCCACUCUAUUUCUCUCAUUAUUCGUUUGUUAAAUUACAAGUCAUGUCUUAAGAGUACAAAAUAUAUAAAGUUCCCCAGAGUUCGAAUAUUAAAGUGCUUCGACUUCGGAUUAUAGAUUGUUGAAUCCUGAUAGAUGGACGCCUACCGAACUACAACACAAGAAUAGGGGCAAAAUUUUGUCUUUAGGACAUUGCAUAUGCAAGCCUCAAUCUCCAAGUUUGUCAAUUUUUUUAACUUUCUCUCUAGUUGUUUAUAUUAAUAUCAUAUAUAAUUGAUGUUGUGAAUUUCUUUAUGAUUAUUAUCAUUGGAAUUAUAUUGUUAUUUUUCAUAUUUUGUAAUAUUGCUCCAACAAUCUAAAGACAGAAUUUAUCUCUAUGCGAUAAUUAGAAAAUGUGAUGAUGUGUUUGUAAGGUGUAUAUGCAGUAUACGGGAAAAGCAAAGGGAAAACAUAAGCAUUAGUGUUUACUUGAUUCGUGCCUUUUGCAUUGUAUGAUUUUUAAAAUUUGACAGUUAUUAUGGCAAUAAGUCCACUACUACAAAAUUAUCUAUAACUGGCGGUCCAAAAACCGACAAAAGACGUAUAUUACUUUUGGAUUUUAAGCAAAAUCCAACAGAAAAUAGAUGAAGUGGCAGAUAUAAUAAGCGACAGAAUUGCCAGCGUUAGGAAAUGAAAUUUCCGACAGAAAAUAUUCUAAAACCGACAUAAAUUAUGUCAGAUAUAACCGACAAAGAAUAUAUUAAUAAUAAAUAAAUAAGAGCAUUUUUGUUGGUUAAAACCGACAGAACUUGUGUCGGCUAUAACCGACAAAGAAUUUAUUAAUAAAAAUAAAUAAAAGCAUUUUAUGUUGGAUAAAAUUGACAGAAAAUAUAUUAAUAAUAAAAAUAUAUAAACCACUUUCUGCAUCACAAGAACGCCUCUGAUGCAGGACAGAACCAAAGGUCUCAAGGAGACGGGGGAUAGAUAACCUGGGAAUCACUCAACCAGGGGUAACGGAGCUCACUCACGUCGCUAAUCGUGGAUUCGCUCACACGACCAAGCCAAAUGCUUGAUUUUAGAAGGAGAAAUCACUCACUUCAAUUGCACAAAGCAAAAUAUAUUUUAAUUCAUUCAAGUCCCCUUCUCAAGGGUUUAGUACAUAUAUUUAUAAGGAAUACAACACCAUGAAACUCUAGUCCGAAUUGGACUUUUGCUCUACCCCAAAAAUAUUUAAAAUGUUCUUAAAUGACUACUUAAACUAUUUGUGUUGCUCUAAAACUCAAUUAAAUAUAUUUGAUGGUUCCAAUAUGCAUGAGACUCUUGUUAGAUUCCAAUACAUGCAUGAGAGCCUUGGUUACUGCAUCAUUCUCCUCUUCUCUGAAGAAACUCGUCCACGAGUUUAAAUCUUUGUUGACUCCGUUAUAAUCUUGAAAUUGAUUUUUGGCUUUCCAUGUGAAUAAGUACUUGGAAUAUUUUCUUAUUCUUGAAGUGCUACAUUCAUGCUCCAAGAAAAAUCUUGCAAUCCAACUGAUAUCAAUCUUCAUUUGAUUGACUAAAUCAACUAAAACUUGAGAAGCCUUCCAAUUAAAAAUAUCAAAACCAAUAAAAUCAAUGUAUUCAUAAGUGGUAUCUUCUUUCACAUCAACAAUAUCUUGAAAUUUGAUAUCUCCCACUUCAGCAACAUCACUGAAUUCCUUCAAAGAUUUGUGAGAUGAAAACCCUUCUUCUCUCCCACCGAAACUUUUGUUAUUACUCAAGCUAAAACCAUCACAAAUUUCACAAUUACUCAAGCAAUGAUCAAAUAAGGGAGGCAUACUCAAAUGAAUCAAAGACGAAGCCUCAAUAUUUUCACACCCAUAAUUUGAACUAAAAUAAUUCAAACUAACCGUAUCUUGGGCCAAUUCAUUGUAAACUGUUGAACAACAAUCUCCUUCUUCAGUUGACUCAAACCACGGAGCAUAAUCAUGAAAAUGGUCAACACAUUGCAAACAAAUGCCUCCCUCCCCUUCGGAAACCACAACGCCUCGUCGUCGAUUUUUGAUGCGAGAAAUUUGAUUGGUGAGAUGUCGAUGCAUCCUCUUAAUCUCUUCCAUGUCAUCAUCAACAUACUUGUCAUAAACUGGUGGAGAAUUCCAAUCAACCAAGCUAAUCUCUUCAACCAUUUGAUGUUCAAGCAGAUGAAAAAUAUCAGCCAUAAUCUUCUAACUGCAGCGGAAAACUUGCUCUGAUGCCACUUGAUGUAGGACAGAACCAAAUGUCUCAAGGAGACAGGGGAUAGAUAACCUGGGAAUCACUCAACCAGGGGCAACGGAGCUCACUCACGUCGCUAAUUGUGGAUUCGCUCACACGACCUAGCCAAAUGCUUGAUUUUAGAAGAGAAAUCACUCACUUCAAUUGCACAAAGCAAAAUAUAUUUUAAUUCAUCCAAGUCCCCUUCUCAAGGGUUUAGUACAUAUAUUUAUAAGGAAUACAACCCCAUGAAACUCUAGUCCGAAUUGGACUUUUGCUCUACCCCAAAAAUAUUUAAAAUGUUCUUAAAUGACUACUUAACUAUUUGUGUUGCUCUAAAACUCAAUUAAAUAUAUUUGAUGGUUCCAAUAUGCAUGUGACUCUUGUUAGAUUCCAAUACAUGCAUGAGAGCCUUGGUUACUGCAUCAGCCUCAAAGAACAUUGGAGAGGGAGAGAGACAAUAGAUUCGGAACAGCCCAUCUUUCAAAAGUCAUGGAUUUCUUCUGCAAUCUGGACAACCCUGUUUCAAAAGCCAUCUACCAGUAAGUGAAACUUCACACUCGAACUUUUUAUUUCCACCAUUUGUGUAAUAAUUUCGAGCUUCAUUUUCCAUAUCAACACAGAGUUUUGUAUUCAAUUCGGAGUUGAUUCAACCUAAUCUCAACUAUGGGCGUGCAAUUAACAUUUAUUCACCCCAGCACAUUCAUCAUCCAUUCCUCAACAUUAAUGGGAUUUGGCAAUGCCGAUGCGGAAAAAAAAAGACAUAGUUCAGAAAUACUCACAGAGGGGGUUACUGAGAAGCUUUUAUGCCACUUAGAUCCAUUCAUCAAAUUCCUAAUACACGCAUUCUACUUUUUGGGGAUCUAAGUAGCACAGAGGUCACGGCUCAUCAAGGCAGAAUACUGAUUCAAUUAUGCACACGCUUGGCUCGAGAAGGUAUUGGUGGGUACAAGCAAGCAAACAAGAACAGAUUCAUGAGCAUAUUGAACAACAUAUUUGAUUUAUGCAUGCAUGCACAAACCAGAUAUUGCCAUUAUUCCAUAGAUAUAACUUGAGAUAUGGUAUGCACAAGAUCAAGCUCGAGUUUGGGGAAGGAGACCUUAUACGUUUUCUUGCAGAUCUAGAACCUUGAUUUUUCCGCUUGUAUCAGGCGGAUUUGAAAUUCUGCAGUCACUCUAUUCGUGUUCUUGAUCUCUCCGCUGAUUGUUGAACCUGCACUGAAAGCACACAUGCACGAGGGUUUCGUCUAUUUUCUAAUAAAAAAAGGAAACUGGAAACAGAGAUGUCUAAGAAAUGGGGGUGUGGGUUGUUUUGGUUUUGGGUUACAGGCCGAGAAGAUUAGAGAUGAGGGAUGACAUAUGAGGCUGAAGAUUAUAGAGAGAAAUGAAGAGAGAGGAAGAGAGCUCUCAUGGCUUUGGGCUUGAGGCUAGAGAGAAGAGGGGAUAAGAGCUAAACGGCAGAAAUGGGAAAUGAAGGAAGGGGGAAGGGGGAAGGGGGAAGGGGGAAGGGGGAAGGGUUUUAUUUUGGAAUCUUUUCAUUACUGUCGGUUAAAACAGACAGAAACAUUUUUUUUAAAUAAAAACCGAUAGAAACAUUUUCAUUACUGUCAGCUAUAACCGAUAGAAACAAAAUGGAGGCAAAAAUCCCCCCAAAAUUCCCGCCCAAAAUUUUAAAUUCCCUUCCAAAAUUUUAAAUUUCCCCCCAAAAUUUUGUUUCGAUUUAAAAAAAUAAAAUAAUAAUUGUUUCGUUUAAUAAAUAAAUAAUAUGUAUUUAAAUUAAAUACGUUUUUAAAAAUUAAAUAAAUAAUUGUUUGGUUUAAUAGAUAAUAACCCAUGUAAAAUAUGCGAUAAAGAAACAAAAAGAUAAUUGUACAAUAAAAAUAUCAUCACACAAACUAAAUAUUGUCUAAUAAAAAAGAUAACUGUGCAAUGAAAAUGUCAUCACACAAACUAAAUAUUGUCUAAUCAAAAAGAUAAUUGUACAAUGAUUGUCUAAUCAAUACUUGAAAAACAUAAAUAAAAAUUUAGCACAAAUUACUUUUCCCACUUCAAAAUUUAGGCAAAUUUAACAGAGAUAUGCAUUCUACAAAACUAGUUCCCAUGAUCUAACCGUCAAACUUGUUUGUAGAUACUACAAGAUCACAUAUGUAAAAAAUCGCAAAAAAAAAAAAAAAUCCAAAGAUUAGGUAAUGAAACAAAAGUUUUAUACGGUUAUAAACGAAAAAUCACAAUUUAACGGUUAUAUUAGCUCCGAUUUUGAUGAUUUUUUACAGCUACACUCCUCGACCCUAUAAGAAUGCAAUGAACGAAUUCAAUCUUCAAUUUAAAAUAUUUACACUAGUGGAUGCUUAAUGGAAGUAUAAUAUUAACUCUAAGUGUUUGUUUAAUCUACCAUUUUGACGCGAUAUACAUUAUACGAAACUUUUUUCAACGAUCCAGCCGUCAAACUUAUUUGUACACACUCCGAGAUUGCAUGCGUAAAAAAUCGUAAAAAACAAACAUUCAGAGAUUAUAUAACGGAACAAAAGUUUUCGACGGUUAUAAAAAAAAAAAUCACAAUUUAAAGGUUAUUUUAGCUCCGAUUUUAAUGAUUUUUUAUAGCUACACUCCUCGACUCUAUAAGAAUGCAAUGAAUAAAUUUGAUCUUCAAUUUAAAAUAUUUACACUAGUGGAUUCUUACUUUAUACUUGAUGGAAGUAUAAUAUUAACUCUUAAGUGUUUGUUUAAUAUACCGUUUUGACGCGAUAUGCAUUCUACGAAACUUUUUUCAACGAUUCAACCGUAAACUUAUUUGUACACACUUCGAGAUUGCAUGUAAAAAAUUGUAAAAAAACAAACAUUCAGAGAUUACGUAAUGGAACAAAAAAUUUCAACGGUUAUAAAUGAAAAAUAACAAUUUAAUGGUUAUUUUAGCUCCGAUUUUGAUGAUUUUUUACAACUACCCUCGUCGACCCUAUAAGAAUGCAUUGAACGAAUUCGAUCUUCAAUUUAAAAUAUUUACACUAGUGGAUAGAUUUUAUAGUUGAUGGGGAAGUAUAACAUUAACUUUAAGUGUUUGGUUAAUCUACUGUUUUGAUGCGAUACGCAUUCUACGAAACGUUUUUCAACGAUCCAACCGUCAAACUUAUUUAUACACACUCCGAGAUCGCAUACCUAAAAAGUCGCAAAAAACGAACAUUCAGAGAUUAGGUAACGGAACAAAAGUUUUCAAUGAUUAUAAAUGAAAAUCACAAUUUAACUGUUGUUUUAGCUCCUAUUUUGAUGAUUUUUUAUAGCUACACUCCUCGACCCUAUAAGAAUACAAUGAACAAAUUUGAUCUUCAAUUUAAAAUAUUUACACUAGUAGAUACCACAAAUCUUACUUUAUACUUGAUGGAAGUAUAAUAUUAACUCUUAAGUGUUUGUUGACACACCCUGAUCCUAAAAUCAAAGCGUGAUGUAGCCAAAAGUGCGACACGGAAGCAAGAUAUAAUAGAAAUAUGAAAGAAUUUAAACCAACCACUAGCAGUAACAACCUACUAGCAUAAAAGAGUGAGUUAUAAGGUAAAACACACGAAUUCAGAGCGUAGGUAUCAAGUGCAGUCAAGUAGGACUAUAAUUAAAAGUACAACACCCGCAGGUGAGUCCUACAUGCAGAACGUCUGUCAGAACGCCGAAAAGAACCUCGUGAGCCACCAAUUGCUAACUAAAACAUGGAGGGGCGCAAAACAAAGAUGAGUGGGUUAGUAAAACCAAAGAUUUUCCAAAAACAUUUCAUUUAAAACAUUUCUAACCCCUCACCGUAAAACCUGUAUACUUUCCCAGAAAUUUAUUAUAAAAACACAAAUAUAUAUAUCAUCAAAACUCAGCUCACAAUCUUUCAACGCUUUUCAGAAAAAAUAUGUCAUGCCAUGCCAAAAUAUAAUAUGAAUGCAUCAAUAUAAAUCAGGUGAAAUAAUAAAUCAACCAGAGACCCUACAGUGGUCCUGUACGGCUGAUUCUAUAGCUCAAUAUCCCACUCAGCCGGAGUCACCACAGUGACCUAUACGGCCCUACUUUGCACGUCACUCGGAACUACGUAAGGUAGUCUGUACGAUGAAAUGUGUAAGAAUACGCUCUAGUGCUUCUCUCAUCAAUCAUCGGUGCGCAUAACUAAGGUCACCCACUAGUCGGAAUCACAUCUAGCGAUCUAUACGACUAGCAUGUCGUAACCCUCACAUGGCUUGUACGACAUUCACCUACUUGGAUCCAAGGCGAGCAUGCGGUGUGGUGAAUAAUAUAAGCACUAACACCUAGGGUGCAUGUUAUGAGCUUUCAAUGCAAUUCACAUAAAAUAAAUCGUAUGAAUAAUGUAAAACUCACAUGUGCGUCCACAUCGUCAAUUCAUAUAUAUAUGCAUCAAUUAUCAAUUCAAAUAGCUCAUCGAUUGCAUGCAUGGCAUUUUAAAACAUAUUUUCAUAUAAAUGCAUUUUCUGGGAAAAACAGUAGUAUAUAGGUAAUACGAAAACAAAACUGCCCACUCACUGGUAAGUCGAUGGGUCGUAACCCCCGUGACGUCCCUGGAUGUUCUCGUCCUCGGGAUAGGUGUCACCUAUAUGCGAAACAACUAUAAAAACGUUAAUUAAAACACAUAACCAAUAAUUCGAAAUAACUUCUCAUAUGGUGCUCAAUUUGGGUAUAUAAAUAUACCACAUCGACCUACUCAACGUCACGGACGUCGAGAAAUUUUUAGAACAAUUUUUGGAAGCCCCACGCACCGCCACGCGUCGACCAAGGCACGGCCAGACGCGCGGUUACGCGCAGGCCACGCGCCGCGCGUGUCGUCUCCUACCCUGGGCUCGCCGGACUGGUUUUUCAGGCGGCCGGAUUCCGGGCAAAUUUUGCAAUCGCUUGUUCUCCUUCAUUUCUCAACCGUUUUCUUCGAAUUUUUUUUUAUCAAAAUGAAGCCCUAAACAUGUAGUUUCACGCUAUACUACUUUAAGGCUCUAAAAAUCACGAAAUCUCACCGAAGAAAUCCCACGAAAACCGGCCAACUUUGAACAUGGUGAUCCCGAUGUCCAAAACUUCCAAACGAACGUCCCCGAGCUUCCUUAGAACCUCACUAAGCUCACUGUGAGGUUGGAUUGUCCUAAAAAUCAACCAACACAAAGUUCAUGAAUAGUGCCAAACUCGGACCUCGAGUUUUCAAUGUGAAAACGAAGGAUUUCUUACCUAAAAAUGGUAUCUUUGAGUUCAUAGGACACUCACAAACACGAUGGUGAUAAUCUCCACUUCGAUCCAUGAAGUUUCAGGGGUUUUUGACGUUGGUCUGUACGUUUCGAGAGGAAGAGAGAGAGAGAGUGUGUCGUGAGGGAAGAGAGAGAGAAGACACGGGGGAAGGAAUGAGAAGUGUCUCGUGUGUGUGGGUGUGAUCCAUAAAAAAAAAAACAAGUCCAACUCACAACCCUAGCCACACAAACAUACAUAUCACGUUAUUAAAUCAAACUUAAUUCAUUUCCAAGAAUUUAGGAAUGUAUGUUUUAAACCAAUUAUAUGUCACACACACAUACCUUAGUACCCGCUAAGGGUAAUCCCGUCAUUUCACGUUCCCGAUAUAUAUUCUCGGUACGGGCUGUGACAUUUGUUUAAUCUACCGUUUUGACGCAAUAUGCAUUAUACGAAACGUUUUUCAACGAUCCAACCGUAAAACUUAUUUGUACACACUUCAAGAUUGCAUAUGUAAAAAAUUAUAAAAAACAAACAUUCAGAGAUUACGUAACGGAACAAAAGUUUUUUACGGUUAUAAACGAAAAAUCACAAUUUAACGGUUGUUUUAGCUCCAAUUUUAAUGAUUUUUUUACAACUACACUCCUCGACCCAAUUUUAACGAAAAAUCACAAUUUAACGAUUUUAACGAAAAAUCACAAUUUUAAAAAUUUUAAUGAUUUUUUACAGCUCCAAUUAUAAACGAAAAAAAAUAUUUAAAACAUGUGUUUAUUUAUUUAUUUUUAAUCAAUACAACAUUUUAAAAUAAUAAAAUCAAACAUGAUAGAGUACACCAUAUGUUCAUGUGUGUUUAUGUGCCAGACAAUGUGUUUUGUGACACAUUGAAAAAAAUUGCUUGAAUUUCUUUGUAUCUUGUUGCUUGCCUAUAAGGGAGCAUAAUCCUUAUUACAAAAAUGAUAGAGCUUCAGAUUGUAGUCUGUUGUUAUUAUUCUCUCAGAAAAUUUAUGGCUCGUUUGACACACCCCGACCCAGGAUAUGGUGGACCCCGGGCCCGGGUCGGGAUGUGACAAUUUGGUAUUAGAGCCUAACCCUAGCUGUGGUGUGCUGACGGACGUCGGACCCUUAAAAGGGGUGGAUUGUAAGAUCCCACAUUGCCCAGGGGAGUGAUCCUUAUAUGUAUAUUCUCAUCUGUACCUAGCACAAAGCCUUUUGGGAGCUCACUGGCUUCGGGUUCCAUCGGAACUUCGAAGUUAAGCGAGUAGCGCACGAGAGUACUCCCAUGAUGGGUGACCCACUGGGAAGUUCUCGUGUGAAUUCCUAGAAACAAAAUCGUGAGGGUGUGGUCGGGGCUCAAAGCGGACAAUAUCGUGCUACGGCAGUAAAGUGGGCCCGGGAUGUGGUUGACCCCGGGAUGGGAAUGUGAAAUCGUGGGAAUUGGGUUCAUUAGACUUUAGGGUCAUGAGUGAAAAAAAAAAUAUUUAAAAAAUGUGUUUAUUUAUUUAUUUUUAAUCAAUAUAACAUAUUAAAAUAAUAAAAUUUUCAUUUAUGUCGGUUAUAACUGCCAGAAUACUAAAAUAAUAAUUGUCAGAAAGUAAAAUAAUAAAAUAAUCAAUUUAUGUCGGUUAUAACUGGCACCAUUAACUUAAAAACCACCAGAAUCUUCAAAAAUAUUUUUAAAAAAGGAUUAAAAAAUACUGUCGGUUAUAACCGACAAUAUUUUUUUGAUAUCCGCUAGGACUUUAUGUCGGAUAUAACCGACAAGAUUUUUCUAAUAUCCGCCACCAUCAUCCGCCACCUAAAGCUAAUAUUGUAGUAGUGGCCCUUUGGCCUAACCCUCUGUUGGAGACGGUUUUCGUGUCAUUUCGGGCUAUUUUUGGACCUAUGACCCUCUGGCCGGAUUGGUUGGAGAUGUUUGCCUCAUGGACAUGGCUAGGAAGGUAACAUUUAAUUAAACAUGGAGGUAUUUUUGUUCUUAGGCAAUGCCACUUGAUUUGAACGUGGAGCUGUUUUGGUAUUUUCAAUCACUGGAUCUAUUGUAUGGACAAGGUUGAUAAACCCUUGCAAGCCAAAUUAGGGUUUGAAUAAGCACAACGAGCGCAACCGAUUAAUUUGACUUGCAUCUAAGCAGAAAAGGGGCAGAAUUUGCCUUGUCUGAUUCAAGGGCGGAGUGUUGCUCUUCAAAUUUCUUGCGAUACAAGUCGAAGAGCUUGUCUAACAUUUCAUCUCCAAAAUGCUGCUUGAUGAGUCCCUCCACACAUUCGCUCCAGUGGAAUGUACUUAACUAUGUGGCUGUUUCUAAAGAAUGCAUGUGUCAUCUACUGCAAACUGAUGCAAAUUUUUCCUACAACACCUCUUAGAAAUAUUAAUUUGACUUCUAUACGUUUUAUAAUAAUGAGUCACUGAAAAAGAACCCUGUGUUAAUGGUGAUAAUGACCACGGUAAGGUGACGUACAUAAUUUUUCAUUCUUCUUAAAAUCCUUAACUUUAUUUUAUCUCUAUCUUGUGUUUUCUAUAAUUUGAAAUGUAUAUUUAGGAAACACAAGAAACAUUAAUUUGACUUGUAUGGAGUGUUAGUCAUUUUCAAAUUUAAUUCUUUUAAAACAUGUAACGACCUGUCCCCAAUUAUUAUGAUUUUUGUAAUUCUAAAAAGUGAAUUUACGAAAAUGUCCUUCGAGCCAAAGUAUUGACUUUUGUUGAUUGCCAUGUCGUGUCACGUAAGAUUCAUUUUCUUGGUGUAUCCUUGUAGUACUCGUCGCUGCGAACGCGUGGAUGCAAAUGGAAUGCAAUUUGGAGUUAUAAUGAAGGGGAUAUUAACGUUUAAAGUUGGGGGCAUUUUAAUAAAUUAGUUAAUAUCUAGAAAGCUCCAGAUUUUUGGAGCAAAAUCUGGUGAAGCCACGUGUGUGGCUGAGAUUGAAGGAAAUGAAAGAUAGGCGAUGGAGAUGAAGGAUAAAGGAGAGGAAGGAGGGGGAUGUGAGGCCAAUCGGAAGAGGAAAGAGAACUAAGGUGGCCAAUCAGGAAAGAGGAAAGGAGGAAAAAGGAGAGAAAGGGAGAAGGAGAGGAACCCACCGGGUUCCCCUUGACCCGUACCCAACCCGGCUUUUCCACACCUUCUGAUGCCUUUUCAGGCGAUUUUUUCGACGAAUUGCUGCCAUCCAUCACCUGGAAAACAUUCCACUACCCUCCCUCUUUCUUUUCCACCUAAAAUUAUAAUGGAUUUGGUUGUAUUUUGGGGAAAACAUCUCGACGGGAACCAUGGGGGCCGUGAGGACCCUCGACUGAGAUCCAUCAAACCUGAAACAUUUUGAUUCAAUUAACAACACCAAUAGACUAUCCAUGAACCCAGAAACAAAGCCUAAUUAGUUUUAGGGGAGGUGGAACAUCGAUGAAGGAGAAUUGAAGCUCACCCUUUCUAGGGUUUCCAGCAGGUUUGAGUUAAAUUGGAGCCUUUCCCGGCCAAAUUGGCCUUAGUCACAGACGUCGAUCGUUUGUGACGCCUUGAUAUUUAUACGAGGGAGUUGUAGCGUGGACUUCAGGUGAGUGGGCUUUUGGUUUUCUAUAUAUAUGUUUUCCAUUUUCUCAGAAAUUGUUUUAAAUGAAUUUACGUUUUCUAAAUGCCAUGUUAAUUGCAUUACAUUUAUUAUAUGCAUUAGUAUAGAGUUGCGUAUUAUUGCAUAACACUGCGAAUGCCCAGGUAAGCUUCAGGUGAAUACAUAUUGAUGAUAUUGAUUGCAGUGUGUAUGGUUAUGUUUAGAUGCAUUUAGUACUUAUUAUCCUGCAUCCCAGUGUUAGUGCUCCGCCCCGGGCCAGCCAGUCUUCACGUGAUCGUUCACCUCCUGCACCACACGCUCACCUUGGCUCAAAGGCAGGUGUCAGCCUGUCGUACAUACCACAUUAGAUGGUUCCGACUCGUACGUGACUUGCGAUACUUUGCAUAACCUUCACGUGAUCGUAGCACCUGAGCGUAUCUAUUUACACCCAGCCUGUUAUACAGACCACAUUAGGUGUUCCGACUUGUGUGCAGGAAUUGGUUAAUGAGCUAUAAGUUCAGCUGUAUAGGUCCCGUUAGGUGACUCCGGCUGGCAUAUCAUUUUACAUUGAUUUAUUUCACCUGGCUUACUUAUUUCAUUGCUGAGAUACUUGACAUGGCAUAUAUUUAGUUUUCAUUACUCUCGAGCAUGAUUUCUAUAUGCAUAUGUAUUACUAUUUUCUGGGAAAUUAUACGGGUUUUACGGCGAGGGGUUAUAACAUUUUCAAAAGGUUUUUAUUAAAAACUUUAUUUUCAGGCCCACUCACCCUUGUUUUGCGCCAUUCCAGGUUUUAGCUGCUGAAAGUUCGUAUCGAUCAGGAUUCGUGGCGAAUCCCAAUAUAUGUGGCUACCUCCGAGGGUAUGAUCCUUACCCACACUACUGUACUUUACUUAUGCUCUAAUCUUGCAUGUGAAAUGGGUUCAUUCCCGCUCACAGCGCAUUCUGGUAUUUAGGUACUUUUAGAUUUAAAUUUAUUCACAUUUUCACAUCAUUAUACUUUAUGGCUUCGGUCACCUUCCAGGUGUCGGCCAUCAUAGCUCGAUUCGGAGUCCCAGUGGACAUUCCGGGUUGGGAUGUGUCAAAACAUGCUAUCAAACACAUUUUACACUUCGUUUUUAUUUGAAAAACAAAAAAUUGCUUUUAAAAACAUUACCAAACGGGCAAAAGACACCUGUAGUUGUAGCCAAAGCAAUACACGGACAUGGUUUCUAACAUAUAACAUGUAUGCUGUCAAUACCUGAAUAUUAUAUAUGAUGAGGAGUGGCAUGCACAGUAGGAAGCAAAUUAAACUCGUCAAUAAUAUGGAAACUUAUCACAGGUCCUUAAAGUAAAAGACAUAAACACAAAGAAGAAAGCGACUAUAGACUCGAAAUAAAUAGCGACACAGCACCGUGCUUAAGUCAAUUUGCCUUGCGUCUAAGCACAACCGAAUAGACAAUUGCCUUCCCUGCCACAACAAUGGAUUGUUGCUCUGCAAGUCUUUUUCCAUACAAGUCAAAGAGCUCGUCCAAGAUUUCGUCUCCAAAAUGCUGCUUGAUGAGUCCCUCCAGGCUACCUCUGAUGUGAGAUGCAAGUAGUAGGGGAUUUUUAUAGACAAUGUCAUGUGCAACGAAGUGAUGCAAAUUUUCCCUUCUCUCUAAGCUAAAGCAUCCAUUUCGUUCUAUAGAAGCUUCUAGUUCUUUGGAAGACAUUAAGUAAUUGGGUAGGUUAAAUGAAUCUACUUUCUCUUCAUCAACAAUUCCCUGCAUGCAUAAAUUGAAAACACACAUGUAUGUAUAGCAGCUUUGGCAUUGUAAAUAUUCAAAACUAAUGAGAUGUUAUUUGGAUUAUAUUUGUACAUGGUUUAAUAUAACAGUAAGAACAAAUUAUCAGUAAUUGCUUACCUUCCUAGCCAUAUCCAUGAGGCAAGAUCCCAAAAUUUGAAAGAUCACAUUUGGCAGAGUUUGAGAAUGAGGGGUACCGUCUUGGCGACCUGGAACAUUAAGUACCAUGAGUCCUCCAUUCACAAUUUCUUGUGCCCUCGCAUUCAGGAAGCAAUCCAUGUCCUCAACAUGUUGUGCUUCAUAAGCCCUUACUACUUCAUCUGGGGCAUCUGAGUAAAAGAUUCGACCUUUAUUCCAGGCAGGACUGUUUUUAUUCACUACCUCUUUUGGGACUCGAGAAAUCCAUGGAAUGGAAAAGGAAGAGUAAAAAAGGUGGAUGGAAUUAUUAGGAAAUAGCCGACCAUAGAAGGAGCCUGGCACCCCAGCGGCAUAGUAUUGCCUGUUGUGUGAGAGGGAGUUGAAGAGCAGAUUAAAAUCAUUUGAGUUAAGAUCAUUAAAGAAAACCUGAAACUCAGGUAAUUGGGAGCUCAACGCUAGGGUUUUAUAUUUCAACUGCAGAGCUUGAAUUAUGUUUUCAACUGAAAAAAAUGUACUGGGCCCAACGGAGCAACCUAAAUCUGCAAUUCUAAAGGUCUUGGAAGAUAACAAGGUUUCCAGGCCAAGUUCUGCGAUUGCCUUGUUUACAAAUUCCUUGGAAGCCUCCGCACCUCCUCUCUGCACAAGGAGAAAUGUUCUAAUAUAUAGCUUGUGUUUUUGGUUUCAGCAAGUACUUAUAACUUCUAAUGCUGAAAAGCAAUAAUUACAUAUAUGUUUAUAACAAUGUUUCUUUCAAAAAGCGUAUUCUUCUAUUUUCUUCACUACAAUUUGAUGUUUUAUUAGUUUUGAAUUUGUUGUCUAAUUUUUGGUAAAGAUUAUUUAUGAAUGGUGUAUGAUAAUAUAUAUGGUUUAGAUUGUCGAAAUAAGUUACGGAAUGUUCACCGCAAGGUGUCCAAAUAAAUUAUUUGAGAAAUCCUUCAACUAAAAUUAUUUGAGAAAUCCCACAACUAAAUUAUUUGAAUGAUCCCUCAACGAAGGGGACUGUUCGGUGACUGUUCGGGAGGUUAGGACUAAAUUCACAUAAUUAAGUUAUAACGCCCAUUUGAGAACCAUCUCGAUCGGUUUUAGUUGUAGUUUUAGUUUUAUAAAACUUGUUCGGUGACUGUUCCAAAAAAAAAAAAAAAACUUGUUCGGUGGCUACUUUUAGUUUUCAUAAAAUAAAGCCAAAAAAAUUGAUAGCUUUCAAAAUUAGUUUUAAAUAUUAAAAAAUUACCACUUAGUACUACGGUUUAGUUUAGUGGUAUUCCUUUGCACUUGAAUCUAAAUAUUAAAAAAUUUGAUAGCUUUCAAAAUUAGUUUUAAAUAUUAAAAAAUGACCACUUAGUACUAUGGUCUAGUCUAGUGGUAUUCCUUUUCACUUGGAUCUAAAAGGUGUUAGAUUCGAUUCUCGCAAAAGACAAAUUUGAACCACAUCGCUAGUCCAUAAUGAGGCUAAGCCCAUCUCCUCCCUUUUAGUGUAAAUAAUAAUUUUUGUUCAAAAAAAAUAAAAAUGUAAAAAUAUAAAAAAACUGAAAACUAGAAUUGGAAAGAAUUACGAAACAAUUUUCAGUUACAAACAAUUAAAAUGGUUAUCAAAUGGAUUCUUAAUAGCAUGCAAUUAGUUUCGAUUUAAGUACCACGUACUAAAACAUAUUUUACAUUUUAUGUUUGAAAUUCCAAGAUAAGGCCCGUUCGACAUGGAUGAAUCAACUAAGGUUUGGGUAUCUUAUAUAUACAUGCCCAUAUAUAAAGCUACAUGCAACAAUUGCAUUAUAAUUAAUGUUCUUUGGUCAAAUUAACAAGAGAAAAGGGACGUUACACAAGUCAUGCCCAGAAACAGACCGCUCGGUCGAAAUGCAUAGAGAAAAAGACAAAACGAUACAAACAAGCAAGUAGCACUAGACCACCACAGAAAGGAAAAAAAGGAAAGAAAAAAAACGACGGCAAUAAGCUACUAGAACGACAGUAGCUCAGAAGGAAGGAGCCAAACCCUAGCGAAAGACAGAUGAUAAAUAAUUAUUAAUUUGCAAAAGAGGUGAUCUCAAACUAACAAAGUUAUUUUCACAACUCGAAUCGAUGACCUUUCAGUCAAAUGACAUUUUCGUUGCGCAGAGGUAAUUAUUUCUGGACCCUAAAAUUAAUUGAUUAGAGAUUCAUAGAGAACUGAAGAUACCUGGUAAAUGGAGAUGUUGGCAUAGCUGUUGGCUCCAUUUCCACCUUUCAUUGGAUAAGCUUCACAGACUUUGCUGUUUUCCUCUGUUGCUGCCAUCUCUCUCUCUCUCUCUCUCUCUCUCUCUCUCUCUCUCUCUCUCUCUCUCUCUCUCUCUCUCUCUCUCUCUCCCCCCGAAUAUUAUAAGUUGUAUGUAUGCGUUUAGAGAAAUAAAAAUGAUCAGUUCUUGUUCUGGAUUAUGUGCCAGCUGCUAUUUUGUUUGCAUCCCCAACUGCAUGCGUAUAAUGUGUCGUCAAGAAUCUGCACGCAGUGUACGUGUCAUAUGAUAAAUGAAUUUGAUCAACAAAAACCCAAGAACAAAAAGUUAUAUGGUAGUGGACGCUUGUAUCGACCUUGUAUGCGCCUGCAAAAGUUACGUGUCUGUAGGAAUUUUUUACAUAUGUUCUUUGUUUCUUUGGAGGCCAAUAUAUAGUGCAGAAAGAUUGUAGAAAAAGAAGGAAAAUUAGUUAUAAUGGAAACAAAUCCUAUUGUCUAUUGACUAUGGUAAGAAAUAUAUCUGUAAACACAAAAAUCCUGCGACAAAUGACAAGAUAAUACGUGUACAAAGUAAAUGUUUGUAUUAAUGAAUUAGUAGGGUUACAAUCUCUUUACAACUUGAUCCCCUAAUUUGAUCUCCGAAAUGUGUAGAUGUGUAGUGUUGUUGAUCCAAGGGUUGCGAUGACUUAAUCUUGGAUGUACGAAUGCCGCAAGGUUUUGACUCUUGGCAAUGGAGGAACCGGCACGUGUAGGGGUGCUUGGUGAUUUUUCACGGGUUGGACGAAGAACACGGAAGGUUUCCCAAGUCUUCUUGAGUGUUUGAGUGUUUGGGGUUUGAGUGCUUGAGAGCUUCAGAGUUUCAAAGCUUCAGCGUCUGGACGUGAAUGAUUUUCUGGACCCCUUUCUUUAUCUUGGAGCCUCCUAUUUAUAGACUUACCAAGCCUUGACUAUGCAUGGAUUUGGCCUUGAUUGUGGGCUUGAUUAAUUGACGAAAAAGCCAGUACUUGAUUUGUGGGCCGGUUCUUGAUUUGACUCCAUCAAUUAACAUUUGAUUUAAUUAACUUAAAAUCAAAUAAUUCAUUUCCGCCAAGUGUUGACACGUGUCCUUCUUGAUGAGUCGUUCGAUUUUGUUAAGUCAAUUGCCAUGUGUACAAUUUAUGAGACACAUGGCACAUGGCACAUAUGCCCUGACAUAUCAAAACUUUAAUGAGUUGGUAAACAUUUAUUUCACCGAAAUUUCGAUGUCUACAAUAUUACAAUAGGUAAAGAUUUUUUACAAGUAAUUGAUAUUAACAAGCAGCUGAGCCUGUGCGAUGCCAUGGGUUUCAAAACUAUGUUAAAUGUGUAAGAAGUUUGAAUAUGUGCCAAAGAGUAGUGUCUAUAUAAUAUUACAUGAGAAAAUUGAGGAUGAUGAUAUGCCCUAGUCAAGGAAUUCUAUUUACUUUCUUAUAUUACAUGACAAAAAUCAGGAUAGUAGUAUGCCAUAGUUAGGGAGUUCUAUUUACAUUUAUGUCAUAUCCCAGAGAAUCUUUUAUGUCUAAAACUGUACAAAACUCAAAAAGUAAGGUUUGUUCCACCAAAAACACCCAUAUGCGUAACUCCGCUAAUGGUAUCUCCUUUGUCCUGUAUGACAAUAAGGAGCUGAAAAUAAAAACAAAACUAUUAAAAAAAAAAUUCAAUCGCUUAUGAAUUGAAUGACCCUAAAUUGCACAUGAAUAAAUUGGAUUACAAAUGAUACCAAGAUGAAGGCAACUUUGUGCCAUAUUUAAGUAUGUUAAAUUUCAUUUGUGGCCACACAAAAAAAUUGACAAAUUUGAACUUGGGUUCUUCACAUUUUGUAUUAAUAUUGAAGGUCAUGUUGAAAGCUCCAAAAUAACUAACCCAACAUCCAAUUUAGUACACUCCUAAGAAGACCAUUAGCAAAAAAUAAUUGGUCACCUCAAUCAUUUGAUUUGUUUACGUACGUAACUCUAAAUUUAUUUAUAUAUUUUACUUUCAUUAGUGACACUAGUGACGCCCAACACACAUGAUAUAAACAAAAGUACAACUACAAUUGUGAAUAUAAAAGUUUCUCCCCAGAUAGUAAGCCUCUAAUAAAGCUCAAAUUACGUCAUGUUCUUUAGUAGUAUCUAUUAAGUUUUGUUGAUGCACAAAACCGGAAGUCUUGGAAUAACGUAAAUCCGACCAUGAAUCUGCAAGUAAUGUAAAUAACACAAGAUGUAUCGUGGUUCACCCCAAGGUUUGGGCUACGUCCACACUGAUUAUGUAUUUCUGAGAGUAUUGAGGAUGAGAGAGUUUCUGAGGGGUGAGAGGGCCUAGGGAUUGACCUCCUCUUAUUGUGAGGGUGAGGGGUCAUUUUAUAGAAUAAGAACUCCUCAUUUAUUACAUAUUUGCCCCUUCCUUUAUCAUAUAAUUACAUUUAAGUCCCCCUGAGUAUUUAUACGAGGUCUAAAUACAAGGCCCUAAAUAUGGUAUAAACAGUAGUCCCCCAAGUCUUCAGUCAAGAGAGUCUUUUGGCUGGAGACUUGAAAUUCAGUCAAUGUGUGGGCCGAAGUAACUAGAUGGCGUCUGGUGCUGACACUCGACAUGAGGCGGUGCCCAAUCUGAAAUGAUGCUCAACUAGAAGUAGCACAUGUUGCGAGACUACUCGGCUUGUGGCUUAUAUUGCCUUGGUUGGCUUGGCUUGUGGCGCUUGAAGGUGAGGGGGUCCCUUUUAUAGAAUAAGGGCCCACUUCUCAAUACAUAAAUGAUGAGCUAACGUUGAUGUUCGCGGCGAAACGACUGCUCAGUAGGCGGCGAUGCUCUCUAAUGGGUGAGAGAGUCUCUUUUAUAGAAUAAGGGAUCGCUCCUCAAUACAUAAGUGGUGGGCUAAGUCCCCCAAGUAUUUUUCAUGAGUGCUCUCUAAGGAAAGUGAGGGAGUCCCUUUUAUAGAAUAAGGGCUCGCUCCUCAUUACAUAGAUAAUGGGCUAAGUCCCUCAAGUAUUUUCAUGAGGCCCAGUUGAGGCCCAAUAUAUGGUACAUAAUGUAGCCCCCAAGUCUUCGGUCAAUAGAGUAUGUUGGCUGGAGACUUCAAAUUAAAUCCAUGUAUGGGCCGAAGUGGCGGUUGUUCGGAUGCGGUAUUUGUAUACCAUGCACUGAAGCUUUGUAAGUGAAGCUUUGAAGCUAGAGCUUUGUAAAUGAAGCUUUUGAAGCUAGAGCUCUGUAAAUGAAGUUUUUGAAGCUGAUUGACAUGAGUGAUGCUCAUGAAUGUUUAUGUUGAUUGACAUAAGUGAUGCUCAUGGAUGUUGUCAUGAGUGAUGCUCAUGAAUGUUUAUGUAUGAUUGAUAUGAGUAAUGCUCAUGUAUAAUAUGAAGUACUGGUCGUACUUUUGAUCACCUGGUUGGUGGCAUGAAUGGCUAGUUGCCAAAUGAUAUUAGAGUACGGGUUGUACAUUUCAUCGCCUGGUUGGUGGUGAUAGCGGUGGGUUGUCGAAUAAUUUUGGAGUACUUGGCGUACUUUUGGUCACCUGUUUAGUGGUAAUAGUGGCGGGUUGCCGAAUAAUUGUGGAGUACUGGGCGUACUUUUGAUGACCUGGUUGGUGCUAUUUUGGGUUUAUGGGCCUUCGCUCUCAACAACAUGCUAGCCCAUUAAUUUUGGGUUUUGCCUUUUUUUUUAUUAUUAUUACCCUCUGAUGGGGUUUAUACAUAUUAGCCUCUGAUGGGGUUUAUAUAGAUGUCUCCGAAAGAUAAAAAAUAAAUUACAUCAUUCUGGUGGGGUGUUUAUUCCUUGCUUUUGCAGUGUCCCCAUGUGCUUCCCUUUUGCUUUCUCUUUAUUUUUCUUUCUUUUGGCAAAUGAUAGACAAGGGAAUAAUCUUUUGAUUUUGCUUUCUCUUUCCGCUCCGCUCCUUCUCUGUCCACCCAUGUUCUAUGGCCUUGGAGACUAUCUGACUUUAACCUUUUAAUUGCCAUUGCUUUUCUUGCUUUUCUCUAAAAUGACAGCUGCUUGGUAUGAAUGGCUUUUAUGACUCCAGUUGGCUUUAACCAUCAGUCACGUGCACAUAUCUCAGAAUCCAAAAUCGAUUCAUGCAGUAGGAAAUACCCCAUCCACUCCGAAAUUAUUACAUCCACUGUCUCUGGCAGGACAACAUUCUCCAUGGAGCCCUUAAUCAUCUCCUCCCCUUUCUCCAUCUGCUUUUCCAUCUCUUUCUUCCUUUAAUGCUUUUGCUGAUAGUGGGAUGGUGGAUUAAAACCACCCACGUAGGUUUGUUUGAACACAAGCUGGUGCACUCAAGCUGUAAAAAUGUAAAUAACAUAACGUGGCUUCCCAUUCCAUUCUUUGUCUUUAGGACCCCACCUCAACGACCAUUUGCUACCCCGUCAUGCUUCAUGUGCAAAUGUGCGGCCAUCAUGCCACCUUUCAGAUGCAGGCGGUGAUCCAGCUCCACCAUGAGAUCUGGGUUGUGCCAUCCCGUUCCUUGAAGCUCGAGCACAUUGGGGACAACCAAAAUCUCGGAGAAAACGAAGAGAGAAGAAUGAGAGGUGAGUUGGACUAUGAGGCUAACAAGAGAGGACCCCUAGAGACUAGAGGCUUGCUUCAUGAAGUGCUCGAUCACCUGGGCUUGCUUCUACUUUACCUCCAUUGAAAAAACCCUUCACAUCGUGAGACACUAGUAGCUGCAACUGCAACCCGUAGCUUCCGUCUUCUUCACCAAUACCCCACCUGGACAUCACCGUUGUCGGAACGACAAAGAAUAAGGACGAGGCCGAGCAGAUUACGGUCAACUGCAACCUAGAUGGGAACGCUAAAGCCUUUAAAGGGAAGUCCAGUAUCUUGGAAGUGGUCCAGGUUAUGGGCGUGGUUAUUGUUGUCUUCUUCCUCAUCAUUGUAUUUGCCUUCGAGUCCGUCGUCCUUGGAAGUUGUCUUCUUCUUCAUCGCUGUUUCAAGUCAAGCCUCUCCAAGUUUCAGGCUCUAGAGAUCCAUCACAGGAAUCGGAUCCUCUGACUCAUGAACCGAGUUGACUCGGUCAUCCAAAUCAAUGGCCUAGGUUGAAUCUGGAAGUGAACGAAACGGUGGAUGGGUAGGAUUCAAAAGCCUUUUUUUCCUCAGAACAAUGGAGGUCAUCGUCUUCUCCUUCUGGGCGGCGAAGACUGCCCACUUGAUGUGGAGGCUAGUGGGGAGCGGGACAGAGAAGGCGUCGAGUUGGGAUUGUCUAGAACAGCGUCAUAAGAGCCGUAGAUCUUAGCGGUCGGAGCGAAAUGGUUAGCCUUGGCGACACGUGUAGAAUUGUCAAUAGAGCGGCUUCUGACAGUGUAAAAUGUUGCGUUUGGGGCUCGAGCUAUGGCCUGCAAAUCACGUGGACUUUCAGGAAAGAGGACGCAAAUCACGACCACCAAAGAUACCUGCCAACAAUUACGUUAUCUCCCUUAUUUUCUUUUUCCAUUUGCUCUUUCUCUUUCAAUCUUUUGUAAUGAAGCUUUUCAGAACCUCUCUGACAAGUUACCAAUUUAACAAGGGCUGUUUGUUUUCUCCACCUCUAGUUUUCAGAUCUAGGAAGUAGUAGUUGCAGAGAGAUUAAUUGUGAAUUAGAGAGAGAGAGAGUGUGAAGGAAGGAAAGAAAGAUUGUGUCUCUGGGUGGGUUUUGCAGAUCCACGGUGGACGGUGGUGAGGUUGUGAAGGUUUCACUACAUAACUUUUCGUGUCGUUUCCCACAGACGGUGCCAAAUGUUGAUGCACAAAAUCGGAGGUCUUGGAACAACGUAAAUCCGACCAUGAAUCUGCAAGUAAUGUAAAUAACACAAGAUGUAUCGUGGUUCACCCCAAGGUUUGGGCUACGUCCACACUGAUUAUGUAUUUAUGAGAGUAUUGAGGAUGAGAGAGUUUUUGAGGGUGAGAGGGCCUAGGGAUUGGCCUCCUCUUAUUGUGAGGAUGAGGGGUCAUUUUAUAGAAUAAGGACUCCUCACUUAUUACAUAUUUGCCCAUUCCUUUAUCAUAUAAUUACAUUUAAGUCCCCUGAGUAUUUAUACGAGGUCUAAAUACGAGGCCCUAAAUAUGGUAUAAACAAGUUUGAUCCCCCGGCUUAAUCCAAGUUUAGACUUUAUCAUCAAUCUAUUUCUUGUUAGAUAAGCCUAUACCAACUUAGUCAUGCACUGGGUUAGUUGGUUGUGCAAAAUCAAAUCAGAUUAAUAAGCUAGUACUUUGCAACAGGAAUUGGAAUGACCAUGGAUUUCAUCAAAUUGCAAAUAGUUAUAAGUCCAUAUUAUGCAAAUCAUUUUCACGGACAACCCAAAUGAAAUAAUCAUAUCUAUAUUACGCAAUGUUUAUAGGACAUAGUUCCCUAUUAUAGGGAUAUAUAACUCAUUCAAGAAGAUGGAAAAAAAAUGUUUAAGUUAAAAAACUAAUACGUGUGAGACUUUCUGGUUUUUCAACCUUGCAAACUCUUUUGCCGCCUGUCCUAGCCUUUGGCUUGGGUGUUCGUGGCUAUCCUUGUCCAAGUUCCUUGUUCUCCUCUUUCCCUCUUUCUCUUGAUCCUCUUAUCUCUUUUUUUUCAAUUUUUCCUUGAGAUUUUUCUUAGUUUUCUUGAGCUUUGUCUCAAAUUUUCCCGUGAGUUUGUCUGUCUCACUUUUAGACUUCAUGUCCCUCCUCUCCACCCCUCCCUCUCCUCUGGCCGUUCUUUUCUCCACCCAAAACUCCAUUUCCCCUCACUUUUCUCCUCUGCCUCCCUUCCCCAUAAACUAUCCCCACUCUAUCCCUUGCUGUGAUCUAUAGACUCUAGGCCAAAUAUGGUUGCCAACUUUAUUUCCCUCCCUCAUUAUUCCCUCCCCCCCCCCCCCCAAGGCUUGCUGGAUUUUCAUUGAGAACAAGUGUAACUGCAAUUUCGGCUAAAGUAAGGGUAUUUUAUAUACGCCUUUAGCCUCACCUUCUAUUAAUGUGUUACUGUGUUUGUAUAUAUUUGCUGAGAUUCGUGAAUGGGAUUUGGAUCUGGUGACAAUCUUUUGGUUCUGCAUCUUUGGUGAAGAAAUCUAGAUGUGGUGUGCUUCUUAUUGCGGGUUUGGUAUGUUUGUGCUAUGAUGUCUUGCUCGUUUUCACCACUCGGUUGUUUUCUCUAGUGUUGCUACUUCGGUAACUGUUGGCAAGAUUUUCGUGGCGAUGACGGCGACGGACAUUGCUUUCUGCAGUCGAAAAUUAGGGAUUUGGGUUCCCGUUUUAGUUUAAUUGGGCUAGGGUUUUAUGUAUCUAUUUCCCCAAUGUAUUUGGGUUAUUUUGCCUUCAUUUGAGUUGGUUUGUAACCUACUAUGGAUUAAUGCGUUUACCUCUUCAGACCCAAAAAAAAAAAAAUUGUUAAGAAAAUUUAUUUGUGAGUGUUGGGAUCCAUACUUUAUUCGCUGGGGGUUUGAUCUGGGUUUGUUGCAUUCUCAUCGUCGGUCUCUUCAAAUACAAAGGUCUCUUCAUUGUAUCCAAUUAUGGUAUCACUUGAAUCAUGUAAAAUGGAGAGAAAAUAAAGCAUUAGUGCACAUCUAGAAAUGAAAAAAAUGUUUAUUUCAGCAAUUUGUUUCCUUAUAGAGACUAAUUUUUGAAGGGACAACACUUUCAAAGGACAUUGAGAAUCCAAAAGCAUUGAUGAUAAUGGAUUGCUAGCCUGUGUAGCUGUUAGCAAUUGGCAAAGAGACUAAUGUCAUGCUGCCCGUGCUCGAACUCAAGUACUAUAAAACCCUAAUCAGACUCAAUUAAUCUAGCCAAAGCUUUGUAGUUGCUAGCAAUUAGUUAUUAAAAAAAAAAACUAAUGAAAAUAAUUAGAAAAUUUUGAAUUUUAACGAUAAGAAUAGAAUAAAAAGUAAAGUGAAUAGUACUAGGAUUGACUUAUUAGUGUGAAAAUGUGAUUUUUCGUUAGAGUGAACAGUAUCAGAAAUUUUUCGUUAAAGUUCCCUAUUAAAAAUCCUACACUAAUCAAACGUACCUGCACGGAUAUCCAGCUUUAUAUGCGCACUACCAAUAAUAAAAUGCGCAACACAAGUUAAUUUUACUAGUUACAAUGCUGAAUAUUAGUCAAAUUGAAAAUAUUUGAGAUAAUUGAGUUUUAAGAAAUUAACGAACUUUUUGUUCUAUUAGAAACAAUGAAAUUUCAUCAUGAUAAUUAAAUAGGCAAAUGGUUUCAAAUCGUUGAAAUUUCACGUAAGGUGGGCCUUAAACUAGUCUUUAUUUUGGAGAAGGUUUCUCUACCUUUUUUUUCCCUAUUUUUCUAUUUGAACGGUCACGGUCAAAUCACGUUAACAUUUUAUAUUUUUUUUUUAUAGAAAGAGAAAGACAAAAGAAAGAAUGUAAGCAGUGGAAAUGGAAGGGAUGGAAAGAAGAGGAGAGAUUGCUAGCCCUUCUAUUUUUACCCAGAAUGGAGAUCCUUUGGAUGAAGGCCCGUAUACACACACAUAUACUCUCUUUCUUUUUCUCUCUGGCAUUUCUGCUUCUACAAGAUCUAGGUGUGUUCUUUAUUUUCAAUUUCUUAUAUGCUGUUAUUUUGCUGAAUUUAAUUUAUCGCAUAAAACAUGGAAUUAGUAACAAAUUUGAACAAAUUAGCUUCUUGGUAUUCCUAAAAUGGUGUCAGAUUAUUGAUUCAGGGGGCUUUGUUCCAUGGUCACCACCUGUAUGAUGAAAGUCCUCUAAGGAGUGCAUUAUUGAAAACUAUCGUGGAGUCAGAACAAAAUAAAUAAUAAAUGAUAAAUAAAAGAGUCAGUGUCUUAUUAAUCAGUUGAAUACUAUAUUCAACUGUUUUAGUUUAAUACAGAUAACUUGAUAACAAGUUUGAACAAUGAAUACAAUUCUUUGACUUUGUUUGUCUUCUGUUGAUUUUGUGAGUUGGAUUUAGGAUCAAGUAUUGAAUCUGGGUUCAUCCGCAUCAUUUCCGUAUCGAUAUGAACUAUAAUAUAUCUUUGAUCAGUCUUGCUAGUCUUAUACAUUAGUGUUUGAGACGUUAGUUGGAUUUGGAUUUGUUGUUCGUGUUUUGAUGUAGAACAUGCUUUUGUUUGUUUAAUUCACAACUUGUAGGAAUUUCCCAAUGCUUGUAUUGUAUCAGUAUUUGUAUCUGGAAAUUAGUUUAUUACUAGCAGGAAUGCCCGCGCUUUGCUGCGGGUUUUCAAACUAUAAUCGACAACCUACAUCAAUAAUAUCCACAAAAAAAUUAAUUGAAAUUGUUGUAGCAAUACAAUCGAAUUCUUAAAUGUAGCAAUUUAGAUAAUGCACGUUUUACCUAAGUAAUGCUCACAAAACCACAAACAAUCCCAGAAAAGAUACUAACAUAGAAUCAAUUCAAGUAUAUUAGGAGCACGUUUGCACUCAAUAGAGGGAACCAGUUGAAAGGAAAUCCGUAGCUCUUCUAACGUUAUUGUUUGGCCUAAAGAGAAUUUGUGGGCAAUAACCCUUAAAAGAUGUCGAACAAAAAAUAAAACAAAAUUCACAAAUUAUCAAAAUAAAAUUCAGCAACAAAUUGCAAAUAAAAAGCAAACAGUACACAGUUCAUAAACAAUCAAAAUUAAAAGCAGGAAAGAGUGAGAGUAGUGUAUCAGGCUGAUGUCUGACUCGUUAUGGAGAGCUUCAAUCACUGAUUGUGGCAACUCGGCUGAAAGAGUUUUGAGAGAAAAAUAGGCAUUAUCGUAACUAUUUUGAGAAGUGAAUUUCACUUCCACAACUGAAAUUUCAAAACCCACCACAGAAGAAGCAUAUGAAAACAACAAAAAAGAAAUUUAGUCAAAGUUAUUUUUUUCUGAUCAUUAGUAUCCUAACCAAAGCAAUUUUCAACUUCAACAUUCAAAAUGAAAACGUAGAGAUUUAUAUUAAUCACUCAAAGUGAUGUUCACAUUUUGUACCACUAAAGCACUACUGAUUAACCUUUUCGAGGUCCUUAUUAACACUUGAAAACUCUUGGGACACAUAAAACUGAAAAAUGCAAAUAAGUAAAUUGCUUCAAAACAUAUAUAGGAUGAUGUUACCUUCCCAAUCAAAACCCAUUUGCAUCUUGCCAAAACUAUCGGACUUGAACUUAAAACUUUUUCGAGGUUGUACUGCUAGGAGGACCCAAUUGGCCUGAUUAAAAAGCACUUCUUUCCCAAAACCUUUGAACUGUUCAGAGUCCUUUUGUUCUGAAUCAAGAUCACUAAUUCCAAAAUACAAUUUCAAGACCCCUACAGUUGGACAUCAAGAAGACCACUAAUUCUGAAAUACAGAUUAAAUUUCUCUCCAUGUUAAAAAGCAAGUAAGCAGAGAGACAAAGGAUGUGGUUUCUAUUACCAGCAGGAUUAGCUUGUAAAAACUUGUUCACUGUGUUCUGAAUAUUGGUCUCCAUUGUAAAAAGAAAUCCAUGUUAGAAUGUGUUUCUAUUUAUAACACGUUUAAUACUUUUUUAGUGGACCAUGAUCGAGAUUUUAAUGUUGUAUGUCAAUAUCUAACAUAGAACAAAGCCACUAAAAAUAUCAUAUAAUUGAUAGAGGUAUGUACUUUUGGUAGAUAAUCUGUAAUCAGAUUGCAAAAUAUUGGGAUGUCUAGUUCCUGCAGGAGUGUGUUAUCCUUAGCAAAGAGGAUACUUUUUGAUAUUUCGUAAUUGCCCAGAUGAAAUCAUGGCUAAUGCCUCACACAUCUGUCAUAAAAAAAUAAAAAUAAAAAUAAAAUCUUAAACACAAAGAUUCAUCAUUAUAACCUAAAUUAACAUUGCAUUAUCAUAUUGGAACAGACGAACAGACAAUGGUACUCAAACUCAAGUGUCCCACAUGCUGACAUCCAACAAAUAAAUCAAAGCUACUUAACCAGCCUACUCUUUUCAAAUGGAAUUUGGUGUCUGAAAAAUAAGAAAUUCAAAAAAUUUGCUGCAGAAAUUAUAAAAAAAAAAAAAAAAAAAACAAAAAAAAAACAAAAACAAAAACCAAACACUUAUUAUGUAUUAUCACUUUCAUUCUAAUUGCCACUUCAAGCUCCCUAGCUUUUGACGCAUCAUGAUCAUACUCAUAAAGCCCUGACCAUGAAACCAAAAUCAUUACUUCGACAAAUAAACAUAACCAACAACAAAAACAAUUAAAAUUUUCAAAUGGAUUAUGCCAAAAAUUACCAGCCGAGUUACUGAAGACCAUGAUAUUGAGUCGGAAAUAACAUCGCACAAACCCCAAAAGUUGCACCAAUUCCACACAAAAGUGUUAAAUUGUACGGAAAUUACUACAAUCUGAAUCACUUACAUGGCAGGUGUUCAGCAAGAAUAGCAUUGCUGCAACCAAAAUUGAUACCAAUAACCCGUAUGAAUCUUAUUGAUUAUGAGUACCAAUUCUCUGGAUUGAGCACUACGGGGUAAGAUCUGCACUUAUGGAUAAAAUCAAAUUCAGUUGUAUUUAACCACAGGUGCACCAGAAAAUUAUAAAACCCCAAGUUGAGUUUAAGCAAAACUCAGAUCAAGAUUCUAAGUGGGUUUAUGAAGAAUAAUAUUAAUCAGAAAUUAACACUAUAAAUAAAUAAAAAUAAAAAAUUUGAAAUUUUCAUACCUUUAAGUUUCAAGGUUUUUACUCUGGAAUCCAAGCAAACUCAUAAUAAUUUAAUCAGAAAUUAACACUGAAAAUAAAUAAAAAACACAAAAAAAAUGAAAUUUUCGUACCUCUAAAUUUCUGGGUGUUUACCGUGAAUCCAAUUGAGAACUAAGGGCGCAAAAUGAAGAGAUUCAUCCCUGAGAAAACAUCAAAAACCAAAAUUAAAUGCCAAAGAAGUCAAUCACUGGGAAAACAGCAAAAACCAAAAUCAGACGCCAAAAAUCCAUAAAUUAAAAUAAAAAGUGAAAAUAUGGGUAAACAUUUAAAAAACCAAAUGCCAGUUAUUGGAAAUCUAACUAACCAACAGUCUUUAAAAACAAUAAUAUUGGGCAGUUAGUGUAUCAUACUCGUUUAUUAUGCUAAAGGAUGCAGACACCAAGCUGUAUUUCCACAUAAACUUCCACGAUAUGAAGUUGUGUUUAAUUAAGAAUCAAACUUAAGCGUCAACAUGUAAGUGCUCAUUAAUCAACUCCUCUUUCUUGAACUCUGCAAUCCAUCCUUAGUGUGUUGUAUAAACUUAAAGAUCAAUAACAGCAAAAUGAUCAAACUCCUGGAGACAGAAUCUACCAACCAGUUCUAGUGUAAAGUAAAUCUCCUGUUCCGUCAAACAAAAAGAUGGAUGUUUAUCCCAAUGGUUCAUCAUGCUUAUUUAACCAUUGAUAACCAUCUAAAAACAAAGUACUAAAAAGAGAAUUCGAUCCCGCUUACCAGUCUAUUAGUAACAAAUUUUUCGAUGUACUCUAAACAACGUAAAUCCCGAAACAAAAUCCAAACAAUCAUCACAAUCUCCAGGCCACCAAACAAAACUUCAACCAAAAUCAUUCAAAUUCUGAAACCCCCUGAAAUUUAAACUGCAUAGAAUCCAAUCCAUCACUAACAAAUACCGCAUACACUGCGAACAAAAUCAAACAAUUGAAAUACAAAUCAACAUACAAAUCAACUCUCACAUCAAGAUUAAACUCAGCAAGCGAACUUGCCUGGAGAGUUCGGGUGGCGAACUCGACUCCGAUGAUGGAUUUGGACUCCAAGCAGAACUCAUUCCUGGUAAAUCUAGAGAGAAUGUUAGAUUUGCCCACACCAGAGUCAUGAUCAACACGAUCUUGAACAGGUAGUCGUUUUCGUGGUCUACUCUACUCGCCAUGCCGCCGUCUCUCCUCUCCGAUCUCCACAACCUAUACAAAUAUAUACACACACAAAUUCAAAUCCAUUAAAAAUCACACAAAUACACAAACAAAUAUAUAUAUAUAUAUAUAUCUCUCCCACUGUAACCUAUACAUACACAAACAGUUAUAUCUACAGAUCUCGCUUACCCGGAGGUGAAUCGACCGAGGAGAGAACGUGAUCGGAGCGUUCGAUCUGAAUGCGUUGGAGAGGGAAGCACAGUGGCGGGUUUUGGGGAAGGAGAAAAUGGGAAGAAAUCUGAGUUCAUCUUCCAAUCUCUUCAUGUACCCAUCGAGCUUUGAAGACCUCUGAGAGCCAUCUUUAAUCCAGGUUUGUGCGGUUUUGGUUUUCGGAAGCAGGAGCCAACGGCGACGCUAUUGCAGAGAUCAGGGAGUUGGUGUUGUGGCUGCUAGGGUCUGAGAAAGGGGAAAUGAAGUCCAAAUGGGUGUGUUUCUGUCUCUCUCCCAUCCCUCUCAAUCUCUCAAUCUCUCAAUCUCUCAAUCACCGACACCAACCCUUGAUUUGAGGAGAAAAAUUCAACCCUAACCCCCUUUCAUGGCAGCCUUUACUCCUCCCUGUCCCUUUGCCUCCCUGCCAUCCCACGCCUAUUUCCCUCUCCGUCUCUGCAGCCCAUGCCUUUCGAAAAUGGCAGAUAUGUAAAUAAUGUAAAAUCAAGGGCCCAUCUCACAACAAACUGGCAAAAUUGUAAAUAUAUUGAAAGCUGUUCAGAGACAAUAUUACCCUCCUAAUUUUAUAUAAUUACCCUUCAACUCAGCCACAGAUAUGAUAGCAGUGGCGUAAAUAAAGCAAAAUCAAAGGGCAAACUUUUGACUGUAGCUAAGCUACAGUCAAAUCCUUCCUCAAUUUUAGAAUAGACUAGAAAAUAUGCCCGCGCUUUGCUGCGGGACCAGGAAUGCACAAGCCUUAACUGCAUAAUAAGACACACUUAACCUGAAUAAAUUAAACAUAAUCCUGAAAGAACAGAGGAAUAGAGGAGUGACACAUUUUCUUGAUUUUUCUUGUAAUACUCAAAGCUUCCUGUCCAAAACCAAAUAAUUUGUACCAUUUUACAUGCUUAUGCAACAUAUGCCUUACACUGGAAAAACAUCAAAAAUCGAAUACAAAUUUGUAAAUCAUUGAUGGAUUUUGUUUUACAUUUUUAUAAUCAAAUCAAGUGGCAGUGUAGCACUUAAAAUUACAAACUUGAAGCAACCAGAGAGCAUAAAUUAAGAUGUAGAGAUAUCCUCAAACUUGCAUCAUAUUGUAUGGAAGCUAACCGUUGAGGUUUGUGAAGCAAACUGCGGCAUAAGUUGCAGUCAAUUGAACAAAAACAUAGUAGUUUAAGAUGAAAUGGAUUCAUAGUUUUCAUGUAUGACACAAACUUAUAUUAUUCCAUAAGUCAACUUAAUAUCAUUCUACAAAGUGAACUUAUAAUGCGUACUUGUCGACAGAUAGGGCAAUGCCACAAUGAAGGCAUAUGGCGAAACUUAGUAACCUAUAACAUUCAUUGCACUUUGUAGCCGAUAUGAUUUUGCCUAUUUGAUGGCAUCUGCUAACACAAAAAAGACCACGGAAGUGAUGCCAAGUCUACUUUGAUUCUUAUAUCAUGCGAUAAAUAGAAUAGAUAGAUGAUGUUUUCCAUAUCAAUAGUAUACCAAGAAAUGUAAAGGACACAACACAGUAGCUUACUAAUACAAAAGAUUAAAUGAAUUAAAUGAACUAUAAAUGGACCAGUGGUUAAUCGAACAAAUUCAAUACAACUGAAUCACAUUCUAAUUUUACGCUACGCACUAUAUUGCCAAGAAAAGUGCCCAUAUUACUAUGAACGUAAGAAAAAUGAGUUAGCACUAUCCACAAAUCAUUUUGCUAAAUGAAACGCCUAGAAUCUAUUCAUUUCAAGUAAGUAAAAAUUUAGAACAGGGAGAUGGAGAUAUCGGACGUUGAAAAGUGAUUAAAUUGCCUUCUUAACAAUCGAUUUAACCUAUAUACACCUACAGGUAUCAAAUUCGAUCUUAGAUAAAAAUAAAGCUGCUGAUGAGAUAACUGAUUCCUGGUGUGAGUUAUCACUUCUACUUUUUAUGGCAACGAUUACUUGAAGUUCUCAUGCAUACUCAAUUGAUGAAUAAUAUCGACAACACAUCCACCAUUUCAGAAGGGUUAUUACUAAAGGUCUUGAUAAGCAUUCUGAGAAGAAACCAUUCUAGUAUAUGUGUGUAGUAUAUGUAUUUGUGGGUGUUUAUCUGAGUCCAUCAUUCGUUUGUGCUAUGAGUAUUUAGGCGUGUAAGUUCGUGUGUGUAUUUGCCAAAAAAAUAUGAUUUUUACUUCCAGUCGAUCAAUAAAAAUUUAUUAAAAUAUAACACUACUUGGUUUUGAGACUCCUAGAAUUGGCAAAUAAAAAAAUAAAAAAAGACUCCUAGUAUUCUCCCAAUGUUAAGAUUUAAUAUUCAUUUUUGCUUGGCUUAAUGAUAAUUUCUAUCAAUUGAUCAUUGGUCUAACGAAUCUCCACAUUCGUUGCAACCCCCAAGGUAAACUACCCCUCCUGGCGGAUACCAACACCCUAAUAAACAUGGUUAUAAAUAUUUGUCUCAUCUAUGAUAUAUUUGGUACUGUUAUAGAUAGAGAGAUUAAUAAAAGACCUCUCUCAAUGUUACUGUGUCAUAGUAAUAAUUUAUAUUACUUCUUUUAUUAUAACCAAACCUAUACCAGUUUGUAAUAUUCAACCAACUUUAAACCUUUUGGAUUAGAACACGGGCAAAUGAAAAAAUAAGUUAAUGCAAAUUCUUUAGCACCUCAACUUGCAAAACAUUUGCAAAAAUUUUGAGAUCUAUCACAAACAAAACAAUGUCGAAACCAAAGCUGCUAACUCCCAACACAAUCAAAACUACAUAUAGGAAAAAGGAAAUGAAGCUUAAAAAACUUAAAUUAGGGAAAAGAGUUGGAGAAGCAACAACUGACAU
This 31340-nucleotide long non-coding RNA is filed under the name Malus domestica (apple). The record is from RNAcentral. Lineage: Eukaryota; Viridiplantae; Streptophyta; Magnoliopsida; Rosales; Rosaceae.